RNAcentral lists this ribosomal RNA (1475 nucleotides) under Staphylococcus sp. G1-3. RNAcentral describes it as "bacterial SSU rRNA". It matches the Rfam family "Bacterial small subunit ribosomal RNA". Lineage: Bacteria; Bacillati; Bacillota; Bacilli; Caryophanales; Staphylococcaceae. The record is from RNAcentral.
CGCUCUUAAGGGUGGGCCGGUAUAAACAGUAGAAGUCGAGCGGACAGACGAGGAGCUUGCUCCUUUGAAGUUAGCGGCGGACGGGUGAGUAACACGUGGGUAACCUACCUAUAAGACUGGGAUAACUUCGGGAAACCGGAGCUAAUACCGGAUAAUAUUUCGAACCGCAUGGUUCGAUAGUGAAAGAUGGCUUUGCUAUCACUUAUAGAUGGACCUGCGCCGUAUUAGCUAGUUGGUAAGGUAACGGCUUACCAAGGCAACGAUACGUAGCCGACCUGAGAGGGUGAUCGGCCACACUGGAACUGAGACACGGUCCAGACUCCUACGGGAGGCAGCAGUAGGGAAUCUUCCGCAAUGGGCGAAAGCCUGACGGAGCAACGCCGCGUGAGUGAUGAAGGUCUUCGGAUCGUAAAACUCUGUUAUUAGGGAAGAACAAACGUGUAAGUAACUGUGCACGUCUUGACGGUACCUAAUCAGAAAGCCACGGCUAACUACGUGCCAGCAGCCGCGGUAAUACGUAGGUGGCAAGCGUUAUCCGGAAUUAUUGGGCGUAAAGCGCGCGUAGGCGGUUUUUUAAGUCUGAUGUGAAAGCCCACGGCUCAACCGUGGAGGGUCAUUGGAAACUGGAAAACUUGAGUGCAGAAGAGGAAAGUGGAAUUCCAUGUGUAGCGGUGAAAUGCGCAGAGAUAUGGAGGAACACCAGUGGCGAAGGCGACUUUCUGGUCUGUAACUGACGCUGAUGUGCGAAAGCGUGGGGAUCAAACAGGAUUAGAUACCCUGGUAGUCCACGCCGUAAACGAUGAGUGCUAAGUGUUAGGGGGUUUCCGCCCCUUAGUGCUGCAGCUAACGCAUUAAGCACUCCGCCUGGGGAGUACGACCGCAAGGUUGAAACUCAAAGGAAUUGACGGGGACCCGCACAAGCGGUGGAGCAUGUGGUUUAAUUCGAAGCAACGCGAAGAACCUUACCAAAUCUUGACAUCCUUUGACCCUUCUAGAGAUAGAAGUUUCCCCUUCGGGGGACAAAGUGACAGGUGGUGCAUGGUUGUCGUCAGCUCGUGUCGUGAGAUGUUGGGUUAAGUCCCGCAACGAGCGCAACCCUUAAGCUUAGUUGCCAUCAUUAAGUUGGGCACUCUAAGUUGACUGCCGGUGACAAACCGGAGGAAGGUGGGGAUGACGUCAAAUCAUCAUGCCCCUUAUGAUUUGGGCUACACACGUGCUACAAUGGACAAUACAAAGGGCAGCGAAACCGCGAGGUCAAGCAAAUCCCAUAAAGUUGUUCUCAGUUCGGAUUGUAGUCUGCAACUCGACUACAUGAAGCUGGAAUCGCUAGUAAUCGUAGAUCAGCAUGCUACGGUGAAUACGUUCCCGGGUCUUGUACACACCGCCCGUCACACCACGAGAGUUUGUAACACCCGAAGCCGGUGGAGUAACCAUUUGGAGCAUACCUAUAGAGUAGAGUUGGUCCCCGGUCCCCC